GAUGAACGCUGGCGGCGUGCUUAACACAUGCAAGUCGAACGGAAAGGCCCUGCUUGCAGGGUACUCGCGUGGCGAACGGGCGAGUAACACGCGGGUGAUCUGCCCUGCACUUCGGGAUAAGUCUGGGAAACUGGGUCUAAUACCGGACAGGAGCUAUAUUUAGUGUGAUGGUUGGAAAGUUAUUUGGGUGUAGGCUGAGCUGGAGGCCUAUCGGCUUGUUGGUGGGGUGAUGGCCUACCGAGGCGGCGGCGGGUAGCCGGACUGAGUGGGUGGACGGCCACACAGGGACUGAGGGGCGGCACAGACACCUACUGGAGGGAGAUGUGGGGAAUACUGAAGAAUGAGCGCAAGCCGGGUGCAGCAGGUCCUCGUGGGGGAUGACGGCCUUCGGGUUGAAAACCCAUUUCGCAAGUGACGAAGCUUUUUGUGACGGUACCUAGAUAGGAAGCACCGGCUAACUACGUG
RNAcentral lists this ribosomal RNA (465 nucleotides) under uncultured bacterium. RNAcentral describes it as "partial 16S ribosomal RNA". It matches the Rfam family "Bacterial small subunit ribosomal RNA", at positions 28 to 507 of the family's 1533-position model. The record is from RNAcentral.